UGAGCAAUCUGCCCUUCUCAUCGGAAUAAGCGUUGGAAACGACGUCUAAUGCCGAAUACGACCUCCUUUCGCAUGAUCGGAGGUGGAAAGCUCCGGCGGAGAAGGAUGAGCUCGCGGCCUAUCAGCUAGUUGGUGGGGUAAUGGCCUACCAAGGCGUCGACGGGUAGCCGGCCUGAGAGGGCGACCGGCCACACUGGGACUGAGACACGGCCCACCGACUCCGUACGGGAGG
This 232-nucleotide ribosomal RNA is filed under the name uncultured bacterium. RNAcentral's name for it is "partial 16S ribosomal RNA". It matches the Rfam family "Bacterial small subunit ribosomal RNA", at positions 118 to 348 of the family's 1533-position model. The record is from RNAcentral.